This 670-nucleotide ribosomal RNA is filed under the name Microbacterium sp. RNAcentral's name for it is "bacterial SSU rRNA". It matches the Rfam family "Bacterial small subunit ribosomal RNA", at positions 381 to 1063 of the family's 1533-position model. Lineage: Bacteria; Bacillati; Actinomycetota; Actinomycetes; Micrococcales; Microbacteriaceae. The record is from RNAcentral.
GCCUGAUGCAGCACGCCGCGUGAGGGAUGACGGCCUUCGGGUUGUAAACCUCUUUUAGCAGGGAAGAAGCGAAAGUGACGGUACCUGCAGAAAAAGCGCCGGCUAACUACGUGCCAGCAGCCGCGGUAAUACGUAGGGCGCAAGCGUUAUCCGGAAUUAUUGGGCGUAAAGAGCUCGUAGGCGGUUUGUCGCGUCUGCUGUGAAAUCCCGAGGCUCAACCUCGGGUCUGCAGUGGGUACGGGCAGACUAGAGUGCGGUAGGGGAGAUUGGAAUUCCUGGUGUAGCGGUGGAAUGCGCAGAUAUCAGGAGGAACACCGAUGGCGAAGGCAGAUCUCUGGGCCGUAACUGACGCUGAGGAGCGAAAGGGUGGGGAGCAAACAGGCUUAGAUACCCUGGUAGUCCACCCCGUAAACGUUGGGAACUAGUUGUGGGGACCAUUCCACGGUUUCCGUGACGCAGCUAACGCAUUAAGUUCCCCGCCUGGGGAGUACGGCCGCAAGGCUAAAACUCAAAGGAAUUGACGGGGACCCGCACAAGCGGCGGAGCAUGCGGAUUAAUUCGAUGCAACGCGAAGAACCUUACCAAGGCUUGACAUACACCAGAACACCGUAGAAAUACGGGACUCUUUGGACACUGGUGAACAGGUGGUGCAUGGUUGUCGUCAGCUCGU